GUUCUCAAACAUAAGCCAAUUCACAUUAAUAGAACACUUUCAUGUGAUCCCAAGGGAAAGAGGUUCCAUACACAAACAAGAAGGAAAGCAAUACGGAGGGUUAUAAAACCAGGGACAGAGUGGUACAUUGUUGUUGUUGCUUUUUUAAUUCUAGGAGGAAAGCUGGUUAUCUGGCUUAACCUAAUUAUUGUGUGAUACUGGAUCUCUUGCAUCACAAUGGGGAAUGAAAACAGCCGCACAGAAAAUCAGUCAGAAGUUGCUGGCACAAAUAAAGUCAUCCUAAUACCACCCAACGAAGGAACACAGCAGAAUAUUUCCUCAGCCCUGGCUCCGGAACCAGGCCAACCACCUGGUAAUGGGCAAGAUAUAAAAAAGAAAAAGCAGGAAAAGAAGAGUACAGACAGAUCUGGUGGUCAAGACGUCUUGAAUCUUCUACCUGCAACUACUGCUGCUCCACCACUGCCUGAUAAUGUCUCACCAUUAACCACAAGAGCUACAAGCAACUUCCCUGAGCCUUGUCAUUCUCUCCUUCCUGUAUCUGAAAAGGAUGCUAUAGCUGUAACAGCCAAGGCCACCUCAGAUGAGGCAAGAGAUGACAUCAGAAUAGAAAGUUCUCCUGUGCCAGGUGAUGUCAUAAAAUUGGCUUCUUCCCCUGAUUCUUCCAAACAACUGUUAGCUGAUUCUCUGCCUUGUGAAAAUGUUGCUGCUCUGGGUGCUGCUGAGCUGACUGCAGCAAGCAUUUCCCAGCCUGGUAGCUGCAAAGAAGUUGAGAACCCUGUUACUUCUGUUCCUGAGGAUGCUUCCUUGGCUCCUACACCAGCCGAUGAUGUAGAAUCACUUGCUCAAGACAGUGAGGGAUUGGCAAAGGAAAUAAAGAGGUAUUGUGUAAUGAUGCGUUUUAUCCAACUUCUGUCUUGGGUGUUCCCUGCUUCAGAAUAUAU
Molecule: long non-coding RNA, 941 nt
Filed under: Gopherus agassizii (Agassiz's desert tortoise)
Lineage: Eukaryota; Metazoa; Chordata; Testudines; Testudinidae
Description: lncRNA (ENSGAGG00000025613.1)
Source: RNAcentral